GACGAACGCUGGCGGCGUGCUUAACACAUGCAAGUCGAACGGAAAGGCCCUGCUUUUGUGGGGUGCUCGAGUGGCGAACGGGUGAGUAACACGUGAGUAACCUGCCCUUGACUUUGGGAUAACUUCAGGAAACUGGGGCUAAUACCGGAUAGGAGCUCCUGCUGCAUGGUGGGGGUUGGAAAGUUUCGGCGGUUGGGGAUGGACUCGCGGCUUAUCAGCUUGUUGGUGGGGUAGUGGCUUACCAAGGCGUUGACGGGUAGCCGGCCUGAGAGGGUGACCGGCCACAUUGGGACUGAGAUACGGGCCAGACUCCUACGGGAGGCAGCAGUGGGGAAUAUUGCACACUGGGCGGAAGCCUGAUGCAGCAACGCCGCGUGCGGGAUGACGGCCUUCGGGGUGUAAACCGCUUUCGCCGGUGACGAAGAGUGAGUGACGGUAAUGGGUAAAGAAGCACCGGCUAACUACGUG
Molecule: ribosomal RNA, 468 nt
Filed under: uncultured bacterium
Lineage: Bacteria
Description: partial 16S ribosomal RNA
Rfam family: Bacterial small subunit ribosomal RNA
Source: RNAcentral